CUUUUUAACAGUUAUUGCAGUAGCAGCCUAACUGGUCUUCCUGUCCUCAGACCUCCACCUUCAGUCCACCCAUCACCCUGUUGAAAGAUUAUUCUUAUAUCACAAGGCUCAUUAUGACGCUCUAUUCAGAAGCCAACAAUUGCUCUCAGCUGCCUACAGAAUAAAAUUCAAAUUACCUUUUUUCUAUAAGAAUCUGAGGUGGGCCUUUUCAGUCUUUCACCAGAGUAUCUUUCACUGCAUACUAUAGUUCUUCAAUUCUAAGGUGCCAUUGAUUAUGACAGAUCAUUGAUUUAGUAACAGUUUUUGAGUCAGGGACCAAGGGGAAGGGUGGAACCUACUCAUCAUGGAUAAGAUACAUCAUUGAUUUCACAAUUAUUAAAAUGUGAAGAAACUGGGUCUCAAAUCAGUGUUCCUAAGAACCAAAUAAAUACUAGUCGAAGUGAAAGUGAAGUUUCAGCCAGGAAGGUCAACAGACGUCUUCAAGAGUGCUUUGAAAACAAGUGGGAAGAAAAUUACCUCCUUGUGGAAAACCUACGGGGCCCUGUCACCUGGAAUAGGUCUAUGAUUUUGGUUUUCACUCAGGCCUCAUUUCCCUUAUAAGAAGAAUGAAAUAAGCUAAUGCAUAAAAGUGGCUUAGCAGACGGCCUGCCACAUGGUCAACUUAAAUAAAAAUGAUUAUUUGCUCUAGGGGGAUUUGGUGAGAUAAUUGUCAAUAAUUGAGAAAUAAGGGAAAUAAGAUUUUUUUCUGAUACUUAACCUUGAAAUUAAAUUCAAAUAAAUGGUGGAACAUUCAUACAAUAUAAUAAUACAUACCUGUUAAAAUGAUAACAUACAUUUGUAGUUAUUGAUAUGGAAAAAGGUCUAUAGAAUAUUGUUGCAUAAAAAAGUAGGUUAUAAAAAUCAUGUAUAAUGUGACUUUUCUUUUUCUUUUUAAAUUCACG
RNAcentral lists this long non-coding RNA (941 nucleotides) under Equus caballus (horse). RNAcentral describes it as "lncRNA (ENSECAG00000053000.1)". The record is from RNAcentral. Lineage: Eukaryota; Metazoa; Chordata; Mammalia; Perissodactyla; Equidae.